Molecule: long non-coding RNA, 437 nt
Filed under: Homo sapiens (human)
Lineage: Eukaryota; Metazoa; Chordata; Mammalia; Primates; Hominidae
Description: HSALNT0293293
Source: RNAcentral
GACUGCAAACUAACUGUACAGGGUAUGUGCAGCAGUUUGAGGCUGUGAGCUUUUUUUUUUUCGUUUUUCACAUGUUUUCUCCUUCUCUUUCACAGUCACACACUACGACCAUUAUAAGGUCUUGUCUCGAUGCAUUACAAAAACUGCAUUAAGGCUGGCCACUGAAGGGCCUCAGGUUUCCAAACUUGAGCAAAGAAAUAUUAGACUUAACUUAUCCCAAUUCAACAUUGUAUUUCCUCCUUUCAUCUUUCUUCCCCCAACUUCUUAGGACCUAGAUUCUCUGAAAGCAAUUAUGUUUCCCUUUUCCACCUAUGCAAAGAAGAAAUUUAUCUCACCAUUUUCUCCUUAGGCUAAAAUCAAGAGGAUCAAAUCAAAUAUUUAUUGAAACCUUAGUAUCUGCUUAAUGCCUGGAGCAUGGAAGGAGUCCUGCCUUCUAA